AUGCUGGCUGUGGAAAUAACUCCAUAAGAGAUACAGGAUGGCCUGGGAUCUGUCUGAGUCAGAGGAGUUGACCUAGGGUAGCUGCUGGAGUGCCACUUGCUUGCCUGGAUUCAUACCGUGAGGCAUUUGAAGUUAAUCACCUCAUUAGGAAAGUGGGCAUCGAGCACACCUCCGAGCAGUCAAGCACCAGACACUUUUCUUCAUUAUUUGAACAUGAUCCAAUGCUGUUUCUGCCAAAAGAGGAAUUUCUGCUCAUUUCCAUGAGGGGUGAGUUAAGCCCUGGGAACAGAGAGUGAAAACCAUGAUUAUUGGGCCACUCCUUCUACUGAUGACAAUGCUGUGGUAAGCCUUCCUUUCUAACACAUGAAUCUGCCACAGAUUCCAG
Molecule: long non-coding RNA, 385 nt
Organism: Columba livia (rock pigeon)
Lineage: Eukaryota; Metazoa; Chordata; Aves; Columbiformes; Columbidae
Exons: 3
Source: RefSeq, a predicted model, not a curated record